Molecule: ribosomal RNA, 406 nt
Filed under: uncultured bacterium
Lineage: Bacteria
Description: partial 16S ribosomal RNA
Rfam family: Bacterial small subunit ribosomal RNA
Source: RNAcentral
AUUGAACGCUGGCGGCAGGCCUAACACAUGCAAGUCGAACGAGUGGCGGACGGGUGAGUAAUGUCUGGGAAACUGCCUGAUGGAGGGGGAUAACUACUGGAAACCGUAGCUAAUACCGCAUACCAUCAGAUGUGCCCAGAUGGGAGUAGCUGGUUGGUGGGUUAAAGGCUCACCAAGGCGACGAUCCCUAGCUGGUCUGCGAGGAUGACCAGUCACGCUGGAACUGAGAAACGGUCCAGAGGCCUACGGGAGGCAGCCGUGGGUAAUAUUGCACAAUGGGCGCAAGCCUGAUGCAGCCAUGCCGCGGUUAUGAAGAAGGCCUUCGGGUUGUAAAGUACUUUCAGUGGGGAGGCGUUACCCGCAGAAGAAGCACCGGCUAACUCCGUGCCAGCAGCCGCGGUAAUUC